RNAcentral lists this ribosomal RNA (1416 nucleotides) under Limosilactobacillus reuteri. RNAcentral's name for it is "bacterial SSU rRNA". It matches the Rfam family "Bacterial small subunit ribosomal RNA", at positions 31 to 1404 of the family's 1533-position model. Lineage: Bacteria; Bacillati; Bacillota; Bacilli; Lactobacillales; Lactobacillaceae. The record is from RNAcentral.
GAACGCAGGCGGUGUGCCUAAUACAUGCAAGUCGUACGCACUGGCCCAACUGAUUGAUGGUGCUUGCACCUGAUUGACGAUGGAUCACCAGUGAGUGGCGGACGGGUGAGUAACACGUAGGUAACCUGCCCCGGAGCGGGGGAUAACAUUUGGAAACAGAUGCUAAUACCGCAUAACAACAAAAGCCACAUGGCUUUUGUUUGAAAGAUGGCUUUGGCUAUCACUCUGGGAUGGACCUGCGGUGCAUUAGCUAGUUGGUAAGGUAACGGCUUACCAAGGCGAUGAUGCAUAGCCGAGUUGAGAGACUGAUCGGCCACAAUGGAACUGAGACACGGUCCAUACUCCUACGGGAGGCAGCAGUAGGGAAUCUUCCACAAUGGGCGCAAGCCUGAUGGAGCAACACCGCGUGAGUGAAGAAGGGUUUCGGCUCGUAAAGCUCUGUUGUUGGAGAAGAACGUGCGUGAGAGUAACUGUUCACGCAGUGACGGUAUCCAACCAGAAAGUCACGGCUAACUACGUGCCAGCAGCCGCGGUAAUACGUAGGUGGCAAGCGUUAUCCGGAUUUAUUGGGCGUAAAGCGAGCGCAGGCGGUUGCUUAGGUCUGAUGUGAAAGCCUUCGGCUUAACCGAAGAAGUGCAUCGGAAACCGGGCGACUUGAGUGCAGAAGAGGACAGUGGAACUCCAUGUGUAGCGGUGGAAUGCGUAGAUAUAUGGAAGAACACCAGUGGCGAAGGCGGCUGUCUGGUCUGCAAAUGACGCUGAGGCUCGAAAGCAUGGGUAGCGAACACGAUUAGAUACCCCGGUAGUCCAUGCCGUAAACGAUGAGUGCUAGGUGUUGGAGGGUUUCCGCCCUUCAGUGCCGGAGCUAACGCAUUAAGCACUCCGCCUGGGGAGUACGACCGCAAGGUUGAAACUCAAAGGAAUUGACGGGGGCCCGCACAAGCGGUGGAGCAUGUGGUUUAAUUCGAAGCUACGCGAAGAACCUUACCAGGUCUUGACAUCUUGCGCUAACCUUAGAGAUAAGGCGUUCCCUUCGGGGACGCAAUGACAGGUGGUGCAUGGUCGUCGUCAGCUCGUGUCGUGAGAUGUUGGGUUAAGUCCCGCAACGAGCGCAACCCUUGUUACUAGUUGCCAGCAUUAAGUUGGGCACUCUAGUGAGACUGCCGGUGACAAACCGGAGGAAGGUGGGGACGACGUCAGAUCAUCAUGCCCCUUAUGACCUGCGCUACACACGUGCUACAAUGGACGGUACAACGAGUCGCAAGCUCGCGAGAGUAAGCUAAUCUCUUAAAGCCGUUCUCAGUUCGGACUGUAGGCUGCAACUCGCCUACACGAAGUCGGAAUCGCUAGUAAUCGCGGAUCAGCAUGCCGCGGUGAAUACGUUCCCGGGCCUUGUACACACCGCCCGUCACACCA